Molecule: ribosomal RNA, 253 nt
Filed under: uncultured bacterium
Lineage: Bacteria
Description: partial 16S ribosomal RNA
Rfam family: Bacterial small subunit ribosomal RNA
Source: RNAcentral
UACGAAGGGGGCUAGCGUUGCUCGGUAUGACAGGGCGUAAAGGGCGCGUAGGCGGCCUGGACAGUCGGAUGUGAAAUUCCUGGGCUCAACCUGGGGGCUGCAUCCGAGACGUUUGGGCUGGAGUGAGGAAGAGGGUCGUGGAAUUCCCAGUGUAGAGGUGAAAUUCGUAGAUAUUGGGAAGAACAUCGGUGGCGAAGGCGGCGACCUGGUCCAUGACUGACGCUGAGGCGCGAAAGCGUGGGGAGCAAACAGG